This 16-nucleotide ribosomal RNA is filed under the name Thouinia acuminata. RNAcentral describes it as "partial 26S ribosomal RNA". The record is from RNAcentral. Lineage: Eukaryota; Viridiplantae; Streptophyta; Magnoliopsida; Sapindales; Sapindaceae.
ACGCAACGCGACCCCA